Molecule: ribosomal RNA, 427 nt
Filed under: uncultured Thermomonas sp.
Lineage: Bacteria; Pseudomonadati; Pseudomonadota; Gammaproteobacteria; Lysobacterales; Lysobacteraceae
Description: bacterial SSU rRNA
Rfam family: Bacterial small subunit ribosomal RNA
Source: RNAcentral
UAGGGAAUAUUGGACAAUGGGCGCAAGCCUGAUCCAGCCAUGCCGCGUGUGUGAAGAAGGCCUUCGGGUUGUAAAGCACUUUUGUCCGGAAAGAAAAGCACUGGGUGAAUACCCUGGUGUCCUGACGGUACCGGAAGAAUAAGCACCGGCUAACUUCGUGCCAGCAGCCGCGGUAAUACGAAGGGUGCAAGCGUUACUCGGAAUUACUGGGCGUAAAGCGUGCGUAGGUGGUUUGUUAAGUCUGAUGUGAAAGCCCUGGGCUCAACCUGGGAAUGGCAUUGGAUACUGGCAGGCUAGAGUGCGGUAGAGGGUAGUGGAAUUCCCGGUGUAGCAGUGAAAUGCGUAGAGAUCGGGAGGAACAUCUGUGGCGAAGGCGACUACCUGGACCAGCACUGACACUGAGGCACGAAAGCGUGGGGAGCAAACA